GAUGAACGCUGGCGGCGUGCUUAACACAUGCAAGUCGAACGGAAAGGCUCCUGCUUGCAGGGGUACUCGAGUGGCGAACGGGUGAGUAACACGUGGGUGAUCUGCCCUGCACUUCGGGAUAAGCCUGGGAAACUGGGUCUAAUACCGGAUAGGACGAUGGUUUGGAUGCCAUUGUGGAAAGUUUUUCGGUGUUGGAUGAGCUCGUGGCCUAUCAGCUUGUUGGUGGGGUAAUGGCCUACCAAGGCGUCGACGGGUAGCCGGCCUGAGAGGGUGUACGGCCACAUUGGGACUUAGAUACGGCCCAGACUCCUACGGGAGGCAGCAGUGGGGAAGAUUGCACAAUGGGCGCAAGCCUGAUGCAGCGACGCCGCGGGGGGGAUGACGGCCUUCGGGUUGUAAACUCCUUUCGCUAGGGACGAAGCGUUUUGUGACGGUACCUGGAGAAGAAGCACCGGCUAACUACGUG
RNAcentral lists this ribosomal RNA (466 nucleotides) under uncultured bacterium. Its description in RNAcentral is "partial 16S ribosomal RNA". It matches the Rfam family "Bacterial small subunit ribosomal RNA", at positions 28 to 507 of the family's 1533-position model. The record is from RNAcentral.